This 253-nucleotide ribosomal RNA is filed under the name uncultured bacterium. Its description in RNAcentral is "partial 16S ribosomal RNA". It matches the Rfam family "Bacterial small subunit ribosomal RNA", at positions 524 to 776 of the family's 1533-position model. The record is from RNAcentral.
UACGUAGGCAGCGAGCGUUGUUCGGAAUUACUGGGCGUAAAGAGUGUGUAGGCGGUGCUCUAAGUUCGGUGUGAAAUCUCCUGGCUCAACUGGGAGGGUGCGCCGGAAACUGGAGUGCUUGAGCGUGGGAGAGGAAAGCGGAAUUCCUGGUGUAGCGGUGAAAUGCGUAGAUAUCAGGAGGAACACCCGUAGCGAAGGCGGCACUCUGGGCCGAUACUGACACUGAGGAGCGAAAGCGUGGGGAGCGAACAGG